AAUCAACGCUGGCGGCGUGCCUAACACAUGCAAGUCGAACGCGAAAGGGGCUUCGGCCCUGAGUAGAGUGGCGAACGGGUGAGUAACACGUGGUGAUCUACCUCUGAGUGGGGGAUAACGUUCCGAAAGGAGCGCUAAUACCGCAUGACGUCCCGGGUUUGAAGACCUGGACACCAAAGUCGGGGACCGCAAGGCCUGACGCUUGGAGAGGAGCCCGCGCCUGAUUAGCUAGUUGGUGGGGUAACGGCUCACCAAGGCGACGAUCAGUAGCCGGCCUGAGAGGGCGGACGGCCACACUGGGACUGAGACACGGCCCAGACUCCUACGGGAGGCAGCAGUGGGGAAUUGUUCGCAAUGGGCGCAAGCCUGACGACGCAAUGCCGCGUGGAGGAUGAAGGUCUUCGGAUUGUAAACUCCUGUUGACCGGGAAGAACGGACCCCGCCCUAACAGGGCGGGGGAGUGACGGUACCGGUUGAGGAAGCCACGGCUAACUCUGUGCCAGCAGCCGCGGUAAUAC
Molecule: ribosomal RNA, 518 nt
Filed under: uncultured bacterium
Lineage: Bacteria
Description: bacterial SSU rRNA
Rfam family: Bacterial small subunit ribosomal RNA
Source: RNAcentral